This is an RNA transcript of Jaculus jaculus (lesser Egyptian jerboa), 2691 nucleotides long. It is a transcript of the gene named 5-hydroxytryptamine receptor 4, with no coding region annotated. Lineage: Eukaryota; Metazoa; Chordata; Mammalia; Rodentia; Dipodidae. The record is from RefSeq and is a predicted model, not a curated record. The transcript is spliced from 8 exons.
GGCAGAAGCUCGGCUCCGGCUCCGCGCCGCGUGGCUGCUCGGGUCUCCGGGCGCCUCUCUCCCUCGACCCGGGCAGCCUGCGCGUGCUGUGAGGGAACCGGAGAUCAGGACCCCGGGAGCCCACGUGUGCAGCAUCCUAUGGGCACUGAAAUACAGCCUACCCAUGUGUAUUUCCUGUAAUGGACAAACUGGAUGCUAAUGUGAGUUCCAAGGAGGGUUUCAGGUCAGUGGAGAAGGUCGUGCUUCUUACUUUUCUCUCAGCGGUUAUCCUGAUGGCCAUCCUGGGCAACCUGCUGGUGAUGGUGGCUGUGUGCAGGGAUAAGCAGCUCAGGAAAAUAAAAACCAAUUAUUUCAUUGUAUCUCUUGCCUUUGCCGAUCUGCUGGUUUCGGUGCUGGUGAUGCCCUUUGGUGCCAUUGAGCUGGUUCAAGACAUUUGGAUUUAUGGGGAGAUGUUCUGCCUUGUCCGCACCUCGCUGGAUGUUCUGCUCACAACAGCAUCGAUUUUUCACCUGUGCUGCAUUUCCCUGGAUAGGUAUUACGCCAUCUGCUGCCAGCCUUUGGUUUACAGGAACAAGAUGACACCUCUGCGUAUCAUGUUAAUGCUGGGAGGCUGCUGGGUCAUUCCCAUGUUCAUCUCUUUUCUCCCCAUAAUGCAAGGCUGGAAUAACAUUGGUAUAGUUGAUUUGAUAGAGAAAAGGAAAUUCAACCACAACUCUAACUCAACAUACUGUGUCUUCAUGGUCAACAAGCCCUAUGCCAUCACCUGCUCCGUGGUGGCCUUCUACAUCCCGUUUCUCCUCAUGGUGCUGGCCUAUUACCGCAUCUACAUCACUGCUCAGGAGCAUGCCCACCAGAUCCACGUGUUACAACGGGCAGGAGCUCCCUCAGAGGGCAGACCCCAGCCUGCGGACCAGCAUAGCUCUCACCGCAUGAGGACAGAGACCAAGGCAGCCAAGACUCUGUGCAUCAUCAUGGGUUGCUUCUGCCUCUGCUGGGCUCCCUUCUUUGUCACCAACAUUGUGGAUCCUUUCAUAGACUACACUGUCCCUGGGCAGGUGUGGACCGCUUUCCUCUGGCUUGGCUAUAUCAAUUCGGGGUUGAACCCCUUUCUCUAUGCUUUUUUGAAUAAGUCUUUUAGACGUGCCUUCCUCAUCAUCCUCUGCUGUGAUGAUGAGCGCUACAGAAGACCUUCCAUUCUGGGCCAGACUGUCCCCUGUUCAACCACAACUAUUAAUGGAUCCACACAUGUACUAAGGUACACAGUCCUGCACAGUGGACAUCAGCAGGAACUCGAGAAACUGCCCAUACACAAGGACCCAGAAUCCCUGGAAUCAUGCUUCUGAGGACAAGACUCACCACCCACCCACUAAUUUUCAUUCAUGUGUGCAUGAACAGGACACCCUGGCAUCACUCCGAGCCCUCAUCACCAUCAUGAGGCAUGAGGCAGGCAGGGCCAGGGCCCAGUGAUGGUACAUGGAGGAGGCUAUUGGCAGGCCCAAGUGUGCAGGAGCCUGGAAUGACUGAAUAACCAGCAACAGAACUGAGAACCAGAUGUGUGAGGGAGGGAAAUCAUUGGUCCUCAAUCUUGCAGACCACACCAAAGUCAUUCAGACCAGGACUGGCCCUGCAGAAGACAAUUUGACUUCCCCCAUAUUUUUGUUUGAAAUCUGGGACACUACUUGGAUGAGCUGUUGGUUCCAGUAUCAACUUAUCACUACAAACAGUUUAUGGUUCUUUUGCUCUUUCACAAGGUCUCUGAGACCUCUCAUUACAAAUGUGGGGAGGUAUUAUUGAUUCCAUUUUAUAGAAGAGGAAAAAGUCUUUUAUGGCAAGUGACUGGCUCAAGGAUAUGAGGCAGAAGUCAGGACAGAAAACAUGUUAGUUGUAACAUAGCCCCCUCCCGUGAUAAAUUAUACAUUUGAGACUAUAUAGUUUCACACAAACGAUGCGUUUUUGCAAUCUGUUGUCACAGUAAGUUCCAGCUACAUAGAUACAAUAAAAUACCUCUUGCCCUCAAGUCAGUCCCCAUCCCAUUCCCAGGAAUACUCUUAUCAUUUGUCAUAUCUAAUUCAAGAACUUACAGUUUUGUUUUUAUACACAAUUAAGAUGAUGUAGUUUGCCUUUUCAGUGGUAAGCCCUAGACAUACUUCACACCAACACAAAUGCUCAUGUUGGUUGCUUGUGCUACAUUUCAUACUUUAAACACUGUAGUUUCCAGUGCUGCAUCUUUGAUGUGCUGAUUGCAUCCCGUGUCUAAGUGGGGGGCCUGAGGCCUAUCUCAGAAGACAAGUGGCCUCCACACAAUUUUCUGAGACUGCUCACCACAGGAAGGUCAGCUGGUGGUGGCAGUGGAUGUUGAGUUAGAUCAUCCAGCAAUGAGUAUGCCCUGGCCUCCUGCUGUCUUGAGGAACUGAGAAAUGGCUCCAUGCAGACGUCAGAGGUGGACUUGAGUCCUGCUUCCACCAAUUCCUAGAUGUGUUAGGUAUUUAAUACACUAAGUCAGUCUGUGUAUAAACCUGUUAUUGUGAGGGGCUAGGGAAGGUACCUGGUAGUCACUUAACAUGCAACCUUUCAUAUUGUGGGAUGUCCUCUCCAUGGCCUUACCAGUUCUCUCUGCUUCCUGCCACCCUCCUGGGAUAUGGAUUAAGGGACAGGAUGGAAAGCUUUCCCUUCCCUCCAAAAACACCAAGA